UACGUAGGGGGCAAGCGUUGUCCGGAAUCAUUGGGCGUAAAGCGCGUGUAGGCGGCCAGAAAAGUCCGCUGUGAAAACUCGAGGCUCAACCUCGAGCUGUCGGUGGAAACUUUCUGGCUAGAGUCCGGAAGAGGAGAAUGGAAUUCCUGGUGUAGCGGUGAAAUGCGCAGAUAUCAGGAAGAACACCCGUGGCGAAGGCGGUUCUCUGGGACGGUACUGACGCUGGAGACGCGAAAGCGUGGGGAGCGAACAGG
RNAcentral lists this ribosomal RNA (254 nucleotides) under uncultured bacterium. Its description in RNAcentral is "partial 16S ribosomal RNA". It matches the Rfam family "Bacterial small subunit ribosomal RNA", at positions 524 to 776 of the family's 1533-position model. The record is from RNAcentral.